Molecule: long non-coding RNA, 780 nt
Filed under: Nicotiana tabacum (common tobacco)
Lineage: Eukaryota; Viridiplantae; Streptophyta; Magnoliopsida; Solanales; Solanaceae
Description: long non-coding RNA (NTAB_LNC007312)
Source: RNAcentral
UUUGAAAAAAUGGCUUUGGCUUUCACUUCAUCUGCAAUUCAUGGCUUUUUGUCCUCCUCCUCUUCUUCUUAUGAACAUCCCAAAGGUAACCCUUUACUUUUUUUUUUUUACCUUUAAUAGAUUCAAUCUUUAUCCUAGAAUGUGAUAAUUUCAAGCUUUUUAGCACCCUGGUUUCAAUUUUCUUGUGUGUUUGUAUCAGUUAUAUGUAGUUAUUUUUUCUCUGUUAUUUCGUGGCUCUUUUGUCUUCUUAUGAACAAUCCAAGGAUUUUCAUUACUUGUCCCUUUCAAAGUUUCAAUAUUUCUCCUAGAUUUGAUUGAUAUAUUUGGACAAUUUUAGCAUUUGGGCUCAAUUUUUUUUGUUUCAGAUUUUUGUUUUGUUUUGAUCCUUGUCUUCUUACUUAACAACCCAAAUGUAUCUGUUGAUUUUCCAUUUAAGAGUUUCAAUACUUAUCAUGAGUUUGAUUGGAGAAAUUUCAGAAUCUGAUUUGAAUUUCGGGUUAUUUGAUUUUGGGUUAUAUCUAUUCUUUAAUUAAUUUGUUAUUGUGUGUAUGCAAUGUCCCAAUUGGAGAAGAAGAAAGAGGGAGAUCAGAUGAGUGAGAAUGAGUGUGAUAGAUACUACCCAUUUUUGUAAAGGGGUCGGAUAAGGUAAAUGAGUUGAAAUAAUAUCCAUUUUUUGUUAAUAGAAUUAACUUCGUGUAUUUUUUUGAACGGAUAGAUGGACAGAGGGUAUUUAUAAACUAUUUAGCAAAUGAUAUGGAUAUUUUUGACCUUUUUCCGUUU